This 1049-nucleotide long non-coding RNA is filed under the name Sus scrofa (pig). RNAcentral's name for it is "lncRNA (ENSSSCG00050076860.1)". Lineage: Eukaryota; Metazoa; Chordata; Mammalia; Artiodactyla; Suidae. The record is from RNAcentral.
CAACCUGGCAGCUCUUUUCCACGUUUCAGACUCUUUCUGCCAUCCCCCCGGGGAACAGGGGGCCAUUUGCUGGGAGGGGGUCUUUGAUGGAGCUCCUGCCUGCUCACUGAAGCCAGCGGGACCGUCGAGAGACCCAGGCAUCGAGGCCGGAGCAGGGUCAAGCCUCUCCUAAUUCCUCGUCCUGUGGACUUUCCGCCUCUCUCCAUUAACUCAAAUCACAGGACAGGAAUCAGCUUUCAAUAACCUUCCUUGUCUUGCUCCCCAUCUAUUUAAAUAUCUCAAGCAGACUCUGGGGAACCUGCAGCUGCUUCCAGCCGAGAGAGAGGAAAUCCACAGCAAACCCGCUUUUCUACGCCUCGCGCCUGGUUUGCAAGCCCACGUGGGCUGUGGAGGUAUGAGAGGCACCCCGGCAGGACAGACGCUCCGAGCCUCCCACGUGACCUGCUUUCUUCCCGGAAUCGGUGUGACUAUCCUUUGAAAGAUGCAUCAGAUUUCUACGGAUGUCCCCAGCAAUCCCUCUCCUGGAUGCCCGGCGCGGCUGGCAGGCAAAUCAAUUGGUCCAGCAGCUCUACACAGAGCUGAGCUGACAUCUCCCAGUGAAACCCUGGCGCUUUGAGCCCGGGCACCUGGGUCUGCUCAGCACAGAGCAACGGGCAGGUGCCGGCAGCGCUGUCAGCUGAGCAGUGGGAAGGGACAAGCAGCUAUGUCAAAAAUGACACGCCGGCUUCUGCUGGUCUUGCAAAAGAUAUCUGCAGUGAUGUGACUGCGGCUGACAGCCAGCAACAGAAGUGGCUGGUUUCUGUGCUGGAUUGAAAUUCAUCCAGCUCCCUGAGUUCACAGCGAUGGCUUCCAAUGUGAAUCCUCAGUGAGCCAGGCGUGAAAUAUAUUCACAGGCGUCACUCGGUCAGGGCCCUUUGGAGUUAUUGAGGGACCUGGGGUGGAAACAUCUGUGCCACUCGCGUUUGUGCAUUUUUGUUCCCUUGGUUUCAAUUAUGCAGUCAGAGCGUCUUUGGGCAAGAAGGGGAGAGAGAGAGGGAGAGAGAGGGAGA